UACGUAGGGGGCUAGCGUUGUCCGGAAUCAUUGGGCGUAAAGCGCGUGUAGGCGGUUCGGUAAGUCCGCUGUGAAAGUCGGGGGCUCAACCCUCGAAUGCCGGUGGAUACUGUCGGGCUUGAGUACGGAAGAGGCGAGUGGAAUUCCUGGUGUAGCGGUGAAAUGCGCAGAUAUCAGGAGGAACACCAAUUGCGAAGGCAGCUCGCUGGGACGUUACUGACGCUGAGACGCGAAAGCGUGGGGAGCAAACAGG
This 253-nucleotide ribosomal RNA is filed under the name uncultured bacterium. RNAcentral describes it as "partial 16S ribosomal RNA". It matches the Rfam family "Bacterial small subunit ribosomal RNA", at positions 524 to 776 of the family's 1533-position model. The record is from RNAcentral.